AUUUUCAACAACUCAUGUCUGUUCAGAGAUGCUAGAAUUCCAAAUAUAGGAAAAAUAAAAAAAAACUUAAAACACUUAUUUGUUCAAGAAAUCAGAGCUUUCCACGAGGGAGACAUAUUCCUAAAUUCACUAUGAUUUUAAAAAAUAAUUAAAACAAGAAUGUGUCCAAAGUACACGGAUGCCCCACUUGCACUAUCCUUUUUCAUGUUCCAUGGACUGUGAAAUUGGGUAAAUAUCUAAUUUGGCAUUAAAAUAAGAAAGAUUAUACUAUAAGGAACAUGUGUACUAAGUUUCAAGUUGAUUGGACUUCAAUUUCAUCAAAAACUACCUUGACCAAAAACUUUAACCUGAAACUCCCACUUUCAUUUUCUAUUUUAAGUGGACCGUGAAAUUGGGGUCAAAAGUCUAAUUUGGCAUUAAAAUUAGAAAGAUCAUAUCAUAAGCAACAAGUGUACUAAGUUUCAAGUUGAUUGGACUUCAGCUUCA
RNAcentral lists this long non-coding RNA (486 nucleotides) under Mytilus galloprovincialis (Mediterranean mussel). Lineage: Eukaryota; Metazoa; Mollusca; Bivalvia; Mytilida; Mytilidae. The record is from RNAcentral.